CAAUAGCGUAUAUUAAAGUUGUUGCGGUUAAAAAGCUCGUAGUUGGAUUUGAGUAAUUGAAAAGAUCCAUUUUUGGAAUCUUGAAUAUUGCUUUUUAGAAUUAUUGCAUCGAUUGAUUUCGUUUUCAAUAGUCUAAAACUUUGAGGAAAUUAGAGUGUUUAAAGCAGAUUGUUGUCCUGAAUAUAUUAGCAUGGAAUAACAAUAAAGAUUUUUAUCUAUAUUUGUUGGUUUGAAGGUAAAAAUAAUGAUAAAUAGGGACAGUCGGGGGCGUUUGAAUUUAACAGUCAGAGGUGGAAUUCUUGGAUUUGUUAAGGUCAAACUACUGCGAAAGCAUUUGCCAAGGAUGUUUUCAUUGA
RNAcentral lists this ribosomal RNA (356 nucleotides) under uncultured eukaryote. Its description in RNAcentral is "partial 18S ribosomal RNA". It matches the Rfam family "Eukaryotic small subunit ribosomal RNA", at positions 592 to 976 of the family's 1831-position model. The record is from RNAcentral.